UGGGGAAUAUUGCACAAAUGGGCGCAAGCCUGAUGCAGCCAUGCCGCGUGUGUGAAGAAGGCCUUCGGGUUGUAAAGCACUUUCAGCGAGGAGGAAGGUGGUGAGCUUAAUACGCUCAUCAAUUGACGUUACUCGCAGAAGAAGCACCGGCUAACUCCGUGCCAGCAGCCGCGGUAAUACGGAGGGUGCAAGCGUUAAUCGGAAUUACUGGGCGUAAAGCGCACGCAGGCGGUUUGUUAAGUCAGAUGUAAAUCCCCGGGCUCAACCUGGGAACUGCAUUUGAAACUGGCAAGCUAGAGUCUCGUAGAGGGGGGUAGAAUUCCAGGUGUAGCGGUGAAAUGCGUAGAGAUCUGGAGGAAUACCGGUGGCGAAGGCGGCCCCCUGGACGAAGACUGACGCUCAGGUGCGAAAGCGUGGGG
Molecule: ribosomal RNA, 419 nt
Filed under: uncultured bacterium
Lineage: Bacteria
Description: partial 16S ribosomal RNA
Rfam family: Bacterial small subunit ribosomal RNA
Source: RNAcentral